UCAUUGAAUUUUUUCAAAUUCAGGAUGUCGUAAGGGAAAAUAAUGAUAAUACCUUACUAUGAGUGUCGUCCAAAUCUGGUGCCAGAAGACUCGGUAAGACCAGAGACGCAAACGUUAAUCAUCAUAAACAGGCGUAAAGGGUUUGUAGGCAGCUUUUAUAAGAUUAUGAUUGCAACAAACUAAAGGGUAAUCUAAAUUAAAAGCUAGAAUCAAAAAGAGGUUAUAGUGUAUAACGCCUAGAGGAGGGCUGAUAUCCAUAGAUCCUAGGCAGAAUACUCAGGGCGAAGGCCACUCUCCACUAAUGAUUGACGCUGAGAAACGAAGGUUAGGGUAGGAAAUAGGAUUAGAUACCCCGGUACUCCUUUCUGUAAACGAUGAAUGGUAGUCAUUAGUUAAAUUAAAAUAACUAGAGGCGAAGUUAACACAAUAACCAUUCCGCCUUGUGAGUACUACUGCAAAGUAGAAAACAAAAAAAUUAGUCGGUCUCGAAGCAAACGGAGUGAAGCAUGUUAUUUA
This 516-nucleotide ribosomal RNA is filed under the name Polyporus tsugae. RNAcentral describes it as "SSU rRNA". It matches the Rfam family "Bacterial small subunit ribosomal RNA", at positions 409 to 948 of the family's 1533-position model. Lineage: Eukaryota; Fungi; Basidiomycota; Agaricomycetes; Polyporales; Polyporaceae. The record is from RNAcentral.